UUUCCGUAGGUGAACCUGCGGAAGGAUCAUUAAAAAUGAAGCCGGGAAACCGGUCCUUCUCACCCUUGAUUAUCUCAAUUUGUUGCUUUGGUGGGCCGCGCAAGCACCGGCUUCGGCUGGAUCGUGCCCGCAGAGGACCACAACUCUGUAUUAUAUGUCGUCUGAGUACUAUAAAAUAGUUAAAACUUUCAACAACGGAUCUCUUGGUUCUG
This 212-nucleotide unclassified non-coding RNA is filed under the name plant metagenome. RNAcentral's name for it is "partial contains small subunit ribosomal RNA, internal transcribed spacer 1, and 5.8S ribosomal RNA". The record is from RNAcentral.